AAAAGGGAGAGAAAGAAAUGC
RNAcentral lists this microRNA (21 nucleotides) under Mus musculus (house mouse). Its description in RNAcentral is "mmu-miR-6946-5p". The record is from miRBase by way of RNAcentral. Lineage: Eukaryota; Metazoa; Chordata; Mammalia; Rodentia; Muridae.